Molecule: unclassified non-coding RNA, 379 nt
Filed under: soil metagenome
Description: partial contains 5.8S ribosomal RNA, internal transcribed spacer 2, and large subunit ribosomal RNA
Rfam family: 5.8S ribosomal RNA (bases 1-120)
Source: RNAcentral
GAUGAAGAACGUAGCGAAAUGCGAUACGUAAUGUGAAUUGCAGAAUUCAGUGAAUCAUCGAAUCUUUGAACGCACAUUGCACUCCUUGGUAUUCCGAGGAGUAUGCCUGUUUCAGUAUCAUGAGCACUCUCACAUCUAACCUUUGGGUUAAAAUGUGGAAUUGGGAUGCGCCGGUUAUUAUAACGGCCCUCCUAAAAUUCAGUUCUUGGCUGCUUCCUACUACAGCAGUUUGGCCAAAUAGUUUUGAGUCUUCGAUUCAAAUCUUUGGCUAACAUUUGCUUCAGGAUGUCAGUCUUGAUAUACAGAAAUCUCAUUCAAACUUUGAUCUGAAAUCAGGUAGGGCUACCCGCUGAACUUAAGCAUAUCAAUAAGCGGAGGA